GAGAAGGCCCGAGAUGUUCGCCACGACUCGUUGCAAGCCCUGGAAGUAGAGCGAGGGCAGUGUCUCCAGUGAUGCUCUCGUUGUCUCUUACUGUCUGCUGACUGCGCCAGAAUUCAAAGGGGAGCUGCCGGUGAAGGUUUCUUUCUGUUUAGAAGAUCACCGCGCCGUCGAAACUGGUGCAAGGUCUUUGCACCAGUGGAUGAAACUACCGAUGGUGAUAGAAGGCUUGUGGCAACGUUGACUCCUGCCUUUAUAACUUCGCUGGCGCGCACAAUGUAGCUGAUCGACAAGUGGCGUUGUUGCAGCGCGGUUGUCACAUUUUCUCCUUUUUUAUUAGGUAGGGCUCUGCUAAUAAACGCCUUUCUAAAUAAAUGUUGGUGCUGAGAUAACGGA
This is a long non-coding RNA of Rhipicephalus microplus (southern cattle tick), 393 nucleotides long. The record is from RefSeq and is a predicted model, not a curated record. NCBI's taxonomy places the organism in Eukaryota, Metazoa, Arthropoda, Arachnida, Ixodida, Ixodidae.